CGUGAAAGCUGUCCGUCUCCUGCGGCUCUUUCCCGCAGAGCCGCCCGGCGGUAACGCGUCCUGUGAGCCGCCUUUCAGUUUGCCUUUCUGGGACGCAGAGGCGCAGGUGUUUCCGUCGGAGAAGCUUUCGUUCUCGCUGUCGGCCGAGCUGUCCUCCCGGUCACUGCACGCGGCCUCCGCUGCUUUCAGGUCCAGUUUCUCGUCAUCUGAACUGUAGAGUUUGGUUUCGCCUGAGAAGAAUGAAAAAGGCCGAUGGCAUCGGAGUCGUGAGGGCGGAGAGGCAGAUGUUUCGGCCCUCUUGUGAGAGAGAGUCUUUUCUAUUCUGCGGGGAGAAAGAGUGAAUCUGGCCGACAAUUAUCCCCAAGAGAGAAAUUUUACUGAUGAAAUGACGUUUGAAUGCGGAGAUCUGUGUGAACUCCGCUUAUAAAAUAGGGGAGAAUUAAGAUUUGGAUAUAAAUAUCUGAUUAUAUUUAGAUGGAUUCGAGAUGAUAAUAAAAACAAAAAAAGAAAA
Non-coding RNA from Danio rerio (zebrafish), 511 nucleotides. Lineage: Eukaryota; Metazoa; Chordata; Actinopteri; Cypriniformes; Danionidae. The record is from Ensembl.